CCUACGGGGGGCUGCAGUGGGGAAUAUUGCACAGUGGGGGAAACCCUGAUGCAGCGACGCCGCGUGAGCGAUGAAGGCCUUCGGGUCGUAAAGCUCUGUCCUAAGGGAAGAUAAUGACGGUACCUUAGGAGGAAGCCCCGGCUAACUACGUGCCAGCACCCGCGGUAACACGUAGGGGGCAAGCGUUAUCCGGAAUCAAUGGGUGUAAAGGGUGCGUAGGCGGUAGGGGAAGUCAGAUGUGAAAGCCCGGGCCUCAACCACGGGAUUGCAUUUGGAACUGUCUUACGAGGGUGCAGGAGAGGAAAGAGGAAUUCCUAGUGUAGCGGUGAAAUGAGUCGAUAUUAGGAAGAACACCAGUGGCGAAGGCGGCUUUCUGGACUGUAACUGACGCUGAGGAACGAAAGCGUGGGGAGCGAACAGGAUUAGAUACCCGUGUAGUC
RNAcentral lists this ribosomal RNA (440 nucleotides) under uncultured bacterium. RNAcentral's name for it is "bacterial SSU rRNA". It matches the Rfam family "Bacterial small subunit ribosomal RNA", at positions 338 to 795 of the family's 1533-position model. The record is from RNAcentral.